This is a non-coding RNA of Pelobates cultripes (western spadefoot toad), 108 nucleotides long. NCBI's taxonomy places the organism in Eukaryota, Metazoa, Chordata, Amphibia, Anura, Pelobatidae. The record is from the annotation of a GenBank genome assembly.
AAUCCUGCUCAGUACGAGAGGAACUGCAGGUUCUGACAUUUGGUGUAUGUGCUUGGCUGAGGAGCCAUCUGUGGGAUUAUGACUUUAUGCCUCUAAGUCAGAAUUCCC